RNAcentral lists this non-coding RNA (31 nucleotides) under Homo sapiens (human). Lineage: Eukaryota; Metazoa; Chordata; Mammalia; Primates; Hominidae. The record is from RNAcentral.
CAUCCAUACAGGGGAGAAGCCCUAUCACUGC